GAGGAUGAGGCCUGAGGCCGCGCCGCUGCACCGCCACAGAAACCUGGAAGAGCUGGACUGUGGCGACGGGUUGCAUACAAGUGUGCUCUCCCGGGAUGGACACCGUUACUAUAGCCAAGUAGGCCCGACAACUCUGCCUGCAGUCUUUCUAUGUGACCCCAGCUCAGUGGGCUGCUGGGUGUGCCACUGAAGAACUCGUGGUUUGCGGUCAGGUUUCAUGGAUGAGACCUGUUUCCUGGACAGAGGACAACACAGGAACAUUUGUAGAGGUCUGUCUAUCUAGAGAGGGUCUCAGGCUAACCCACGUGGCUUCGCCUCUAUAAUCCUCCAGCCCUUCGCUGGGAGUGCUGGAUUAUUAGGGAAAGCCAGCACACUUGGAUUAGGGAGCAGCUCGGUAAAACAAAGAUGGCACCGACAUCCAGUCCCGUCUGGUAGUAAACAACUUAUCACGCAUGCGCAGGCUUGUCCCCUUGCCAGGGCAGCCGUAGGAUAAUGAGGUGAUCCGGCGCCCACCUGUGGUGAACAACGGUACCACGCAUGCGCGGGUUUUGCACCUGGCGUCAGUUGGCCAGGACGUUAAUAUGCUAAUGAGGGAUUCAUGCUCCUUCAAUCCCUGAAGGACAAUUAACAUAGCCUCAGCCUGCUGUAUAUAUAAGGCGAGCGCUUUUUCGGCUCCAGGUCCCCGUAUGAGCAAAGAGGUGGUCCUACAAUAAAGGCUGUUGAGAAG
Long non-coding RNA from Rattus norvegicus (Norway rat), 727 nucleotides. The record is from Ensembl. Lineage: Eukaryota; Metazoa; Chordata; Mammalia; Rodentia; Muridae.